CCUACGGGAGGCUGCAGUGAGGAAUAUUGGUCAAUGGCCGGAAGGCUGAACCAGCCAAGCCGCGUGAAGGACGAAGGUGCCAAGCAUUGUAAACUUCUUUUGUCAAGGGACAAAAUCAUGCUCGAGAGCCUGACCGUGGGUACUUGAAGAAAAAGCAUCGGCUAACUCCGUGCCAGCAGCCGCGGUAAUACGGAGGAUGCGAGCGUUAUCCGGUUUUAUUGGGGUUAAGGGGGGCGUAGGCGGGCUGUUAAGUCAGUGGGAAAAGCCCGGGGCUCAACCCCGGCGUGCCGUUGAAACUGGCUGUCUUGAGAUGUCGAGAGGUAUGCGGAAUGCGCAGUGUAGCGGUGAAAUGCUUAGAUAUUGCGCAGAACUCCGAUUGCGAAGGCAGCAUACCGGCGGCGAUCUGACGCUGAGGCACGAAAGCGUGGGUAUCGAACAGGAUUAGAUACCCGAGUAGUC
This 459-nucleotide ribosomal RNA is filed under the name uncultured bacterium. RNAcentral's name for it is "partial 16S ribosomal RNA". It matches the Rfam family "Bacterial small subunit ribosomal RNA", at positions 338 to 795 of the family's 1533-position model. The record is from RNAcentral.